Molecule: transfer RNA, 76 nt
Filed under: Rhipicephalus sanguineus (brown dog tick)
Lineage: Eukaryota; Metazoa; Arthropoda; Arachnida; Ixodida; Ixodidae
Description: transfer RNA alanine (anticodon AGC)
Rfam family: tRNA
About the family: Transfer RNA (tRNA) molecules are approximately 80 nucleotides in length. Their secondary structure includes four short double-helical elements and three loops (D, anti-codon, and T loops).
Source: Rfam by way of RNAcentral
GGGGGUGUAGCUCAAAUGGUAGAGCGCUCGCUUAGCAUGCGAGAGGAGGUACUGGGAUCGAUACCCAGCACCUCCA